Molecule: ribosomal RNA, 489 nt
Filed under: uncultured bacterium
Lineage: Bacteria
Description: bacterial SSU rRNA
Rfam family: Bacterial small subunit ribosomal RNA
Source: RNAcentral
GAUCAUGGCUCAGGAUGAACGCUGGCGGCGUGCCUAACACAUGCAAGUCGAACGGGGUGUCUGACCUUCGGACUGGACACUUAGUGGCGGACGGGUGAGUAACGCGUGGGUAACCUGCCUCAUACAGGGGGAUAGCAGUUGGAAACGACUGAUAAUACCGCAUAAGCGCACAGUACCGCAUGGUACAGUGUGAAAAACUCCGGUGGUAUGAGAUGGACCCGCGUCUGAUUAGCUUGUUGGCGGGGUAACGGCCCACCAAGGCGACGAUCAGUAGCCGGCCUGAGAGGGUGAACGGCCACAUUGGGACUGAGACACGGCCCAAACUCCUACGGGAGGCAGCAGUGGGGAAUAUUGCACAACGGGGGAAACCCUGAUGCCAGCGACGCCGCGUGAAGGAUGAAGUAUUUCGGUAUGUAAACUUCUAUCAGCAGGGAAGAUGAUGACGGUACCUGACUAAGAAGCCCCGGCUAACUACGUGCCAGCCGCAGC